UCACUAGUUGCAUAACUUGCACAUGUGU
RNAcentral lists this small RNA (28 nucleotides) under Bombyx mori (domestic silkworm). RNAcentral describes it as "ovarian small RNA-6911". The record is from RNAcentral. Lineage: Eukaryota; Metazoa; Arthropoda; Insecta; Lepidoptera; Bombycidae.